This is a non-coding RNA of Pocillopora verrucosa, 290 nucleotides long. NCBI's taxonomy places the organism in Eukaryota, Metazoa, Cnidaria, Anthozoa, Scleractinia, Pocilloporidae. The record is from RefSeq and is a predicted model, not a curated record.
AGGAGCUCAAAUUUUCUUCCAAAAAUGUGGAUCACUGUGGUGCACUGGUUGUGGCAGGGAAAUUGUGAAAAUGGAACCAAUUUCCCCCGCAGUUCCUCAGCCUAGGUGGGAAAAAGAUACAAAGUGGAUUGAUCCGUUGACAAUGUUUCAGAAGAUGGCACUGAGUUAUACAGGAUAAGGAAGAAGAAGAUUUUUUGUCAUGGUGGAGAAAGCCACUGUAAAUAUGCAAAAACUGGACUGCCUGUAUGCACCGAAAGGAUCUUGAGCUGUGUACAAGUGACAGGUGACUA